AGAGAGAAAACUGAACGAAAGCGG
This 24-nucleotide small RNA is filed under the name Arabidopsis thaliana (thale cress). Lineage: Eukaryota; Viridiplantae; Streptophyta; Magnoliopsida; Brassicales; Brassicaceae. The record is from RNAcentral.